This 253-nucleotide ribosomal RNA is filed under the name uncultured bacterium. Its description in RNAcentral is "partial 16S ribosomal RNA". It matches the Rfam family "Bacterial small subunit ribosomal RNA", at positions 524 to 776 of the family's 1533-position model. The record is from RNAcentral.
UACGAAGGGGGCUAGCGUUGUUCGGAAUUACUGGGCGUAAAGCGCACGUAGGCGGAUCAAUAAGUCAGGGGUGAAAUCCCGGGGCUCAACCCCGGAACUGCCUUUGAUACUGUUGAUCUUGAGUUCGGAAGAGGUGAGUGGAAUUGCGAGUGUAGAGGUGAAAUUCGUAGAUAUUCGCAGGAACACCAGUGGCGAAGGCGGCUCACUGGUCCGAUACUGACGCUGAGGUGCGAAAGCGUGGGGAGCAAACAGG